Long non-coding RNA from Diospyros lotus (date-plum), 765 nucleotides. RefSeq lists it as uncharacterized. The transcript has 2 exons. The record is from RefSeq and is a predicted model, not a curated record. Lineage: Eukaryota; Viridiplantae; Streptophyta; Magnoliopsida; Ericales; Ebenaceae.
UCCAUUCUCACUUCCUUCUAGUAGAAUGAUAACUAAUUGGACCUUAACCAGGGUUCUUUUAAUGUUGACAUUCUUUUAUUUUAUUUGUUUGUUAAAACCUCCUCGAACUAUAUCAAUGAGGUAUUUAGUAUUUAUAUAUAAAAAUUUCCAGUGGACAGGUGUGGUUACAGGUUUGAGUUACAGAAGCAGUCUUUUUGCUAGAGCAAGGCAAGACUACAUGACAUACAAAUAUGACCCUCAUAGAACAGGGAGGCUCAUGCAUUGGGGAUGCCAUUUUAAUUGCUUUGCUUCAAUGGCAUGCCCCUGGGGUCCUCACCUUGUUCAAUAAAGUUGCAGGAGAUGCCAUAAUAUUGACAGCUAUUUGAAUGCCAUUAAGAAAUGAAGCUUUCCCUCACUGUAUCCAGUGAAGUUACUUGAGAUGCCAUAUAAUUUAGGCAGAUUUUGGUAGGCAUCGUUUGAUGUUGAUGUAUUUCUGGCCAUCUAGUUGUUUCUUAACAAAUCAUUCCCCUCUUGUCAAUGUAUGUGUGGUGAGGCAGUAUUUGAAACUUUGAAUGUCCCUUGGAAACAAACUUUUCUAUUCACUUUUAUGAUGCAUAUCACCUUAUUUUAGUUCUAUAUACCUUAUGAGACGGUGGUUUGAGAUUAAAUAUUAUGACCAACUUUAGAACCUCACAUCAUCUAAUCAGGGUUUUUGGAUAACUUUUCUUCAUGCAUGACUGUUUCUUAUUGUUGUCCAUCUGUCUGCAUGGACUGUAAUUAUUUCUU